UCCUGGUUGGCCCAGGCAGUAUCGUCUGAAAAAUCCAACAGACGACAAGGGUUUCGCUCGUUGCCGGACUUAACCGAACAUCUCACGACACGAGCUGAGGACGGCCAUGCAACACCUGUCACUAGGCUCCCGAAGGCACUCCAACAUUUCUGCCGGAUUCCUAGGAUGUCAAGCCUUGGUAAGGUUCUUCGCGUAUCAUCGAAUUAAACCACAUGCUCCACCGCUUGUGCGGGUCCCCGUCAAUUCCUUUGAGUUUUAGCCUUGCGGCCGUACUCCCCAGGCGGGAUGCUUAACGCGUUAGCUUCGCAACGCAAAGGGUCGAUACUUCACACUACUAGCAUCCAUCGUUUACGGCGUGGACUAC
This 364-nucleotide unclassified non-coding RNA is filed under the name uncultured bacterium. RNAcentral's name for it is "contains 16S-23S intergenic spacer region". The record is from RNAcentral.